This is a long non-coding RNA of Suricata suricatta (meerkat), 1335 nucleotides long. RefSeq lists it as uncharacterized. Lineage: Eukaryota; Metazoa; Chordata; Mammalia; Carnivora; Herpestidae. The transcript is spliced from 11 exons. The record is from RefSeq and is a predicted model, not a curated record.
UCAUUUGAUGCAUCUCAAAAUCCCAUAAGGCUUCUGGUCAACAGAGGAAAACACGCUUUUGCUGUUAAAAUGAGACUUGAAGAUUUUUAGAAAAUGACACUGUGAAGAUAAGAUGGCACCACGGUCAAUUCCAUCUUAGCAGCACUACGUGGGAUGGAACAUUACAACCUAAAGAUGAGUCCAUAUUUUCUCUGAAGUGGGGAGCUAAGUGAAUUGUACUCUUUUUUUGUUCUCCCAGCCCCAAUGAGAAGCGGCAAGGGAUUCAGAUAACAUGUGAAGGAGGCAGAGGUUAAGGAACAAGGACUUCCAGGAUCCAGUUCUAUUCUGUACGUCAGUGAUCAGAUAGAGUAUUUUUGGUGCCAAGGAAGACUCUGAAGUUUUUAGAUCUGAGGAUAAAUAGCCAUCAGUAACCACAACUCCUCUCAUCUCCUUGGAGGCCACAGAUCAUAUAGCCUAUGUCACGAUCAAGAGACUCCAUGUCCUGCAGAGAAGCAUCUGAUUGGACAAGUGGAGGUUACAAGCCCAUGCUGCCAGAACUCAGAAGUUUCCUCUUCAGGUUUCUAUAGUAAGAGAAUGUAGGUUCUGCUUGCCUUUCCUGUUCCCAGAAGCUGCUCCAAGGACAUGGCUAUUUGGCAGCAGGAAUCCUUUCAUCUUGUUGAUGCCCAAGCUCUUCCAAAACCCAGAGGACAUGGGCCUUCUGCUGAAGAUAAGCUUACAACAUCAAAAGAGAUGGUGCCUUGAGAUGUGAAACUAUGGGCGUGAAGAUACCUAAAGAUGUAUCUGUCCUGGCACGUGACUCACUCCAUUAACAGAACACAUCUGCACACCCGACAAGACAUCUUCCAAAAAGCAGAGGCUGGGGAAGAGCAAAAUGAUGGUAAGCUUUCUCAGGAGCAUGAGGGAACAAGAAGCUGUGUUUGUUCCUGCCAUGUGUCCAGAACGGCCUUCCUAACAGUAUCCACAGUGAAGACUUCCCAAACCAUCCACCAGCUGUUGAUGUCCUCUCUACCGCCGGAGUCCACGGCGCUCACCUAAAUUCUAUGCUCUCACUGUCCUCCAACAUUUAGACUCCUGAACUGAUCACUUUCUUCAUCUUGCAAAACUGUCCCUUACUGGCUUCUGUGUCACUGCACUCGCCUGUGUUUCCUUCUACACUUUACCACCUACUCACUUUCCAUCACUUCCUCUCAAUAGUGGGAUCUUUCCAGGCAAGAACUUUCUGCUCCAUGACUUUGAUACCGUUCAUACGAUGACAAUUCCUCCAAAUGCUACCACUAAUCCCAAUGCAUCAGGAGCUCCAGACCUGUAUGUCCAGUCUCUCACAUGACAUUUCUC